Molecule: unclassified non-coding RNA, 348 nt
Filed under: soil metagenome
Description: partial contains 5.8S ribosomal RNA, internal transcribed spacer 2, and large subunit ribosomal RNA
Rfam family: 5.8S ribosomal RNA (bases 4-119)
Source: RNAcentral
GAUAAGAACGCAGCGAAAUGCGAUAACUAAUGUGAAUUGCAGAAUUCAGUGAAUCAUCGAGUCUUUGAACGCACAUUGCGCCCCCUGGUAUUCCGGGGGGCAUGCCUGUCCGAGCGUCAUUGCUGCCCUCAAGCCCGGCUUGUGUGUUGGGUCGCCGUCCCCCUCUCCGGGGGGACGGGCCCGAAAGGCAGCGGCGGCACCGCGUCCGAUCCUCGAGCGUAUGGGGCUUUGUCACAUGCUCUGUAGGAUUGGCCGGCGCCUGCCGACGUUUUCCAACCAUUCUUUCCAGGUUGACCUCGGAUCAGGUAGGGAUACCCGCUGAACUUAAGCAUAUCAAUAAGCGGAGGA